Molecule: ribosomal RNA, 357 nt
Filed under: Triticum aestivum (bread wheat)
Lineage: Eukaryota; Viridiplantae; Streptophyta; Magnoliopsida; Poales; Poaceae
Description: partial small subunit ribosomal RNA
Source: RNAcentral
AUGUCGCUCCUCCGCAACAGCCCGUGCGUGCUGCAGGUCGUGCCGGACACCGUGUUCCAGCUCCACACCAUGCGCAUCCCGGAGUUCUCGGGGCUGCUCUCCCUGGCUUACCAGCCGGCCAUACACAACCUUAACACUGCCUUCCACGGUGUGGUCAUACGGGUUCUUCGCAUCGGCGUCUGGCCGGAGUUACCAAGUUUCACGAGCGGCUUAGGACAAAGACGGGUAUGGGAUGCACAUGGCGACUACUACAGCGGGCGCGACGAGAUUCACGGCGAGGUCGCCACGGGCAUGGGAGAUAGCACGGGCGAGAUUCGCAACGAGGUCGCGGACGAAGCCCGAGGUCGUCGCCGUUGA